RNAcentral lists this unclassified non-coding RNA (299 nucleotides) under Hevea brasiliensis (rubber tree). The record is from RNAcentral. Lineage: Eukaryota; Viridiplantae; Streptophyta; Magnoliopsida; Malpighiales; Euphorbiaceae.
GCUGGUUAGACAGAGAAAUUUAGUACCCCAGUAUUCCUGUGCUACUUAGCUUCCUCUUCUUCUCCUUCUUUUUAUUUUUUAGGCAAUCAUUUUUUAUAGGAGCAACGUAUAGUGGGCUAAUUAGAUCAUGGGUAUGAUUAUUUGUGGAAAAAAUUGUUUUCAUUAGGACAGGAAGAAAAUGUUGCUCAUGAUUCAAUCUUAUCUAUCAUUCUUGCCUUUUGUCCUCUUUAUAGUCAUGCCACAAUGGGCAAAAUAAAAUUUGUUAAACUCUGGAAACUCUUUUUUUUUUUUAAUUUCUU